This 258-nucleotide ribosomal RNA is filed under the name uncultured bacterium. Its description in RNAcentral is "partial 16S ribosomal RNA". It matches the Rfam family "Bacterial small subunit ribosomal RNA", at positions 103 to 354 of the family's 1533-position model. The record is from RNAcentral.
CGGGUGAGUAACACGUGAGUGACCUGCCUUUUAGACUGGAACAACUUACCGAAAGGUGAGCUAAUGCCGGAUGAGUUAUAUAAGUGCAUGUUUAUAUAGGAAAAGUUGGGGAGACCUGACGCUGAAAGAUGGACUCGCGUCCCAUUAGCUAGUUGGUAGGGUAAUGGCCUACCAAGGCGACGAUGGGUAGCCGGCCUGAGAGGGUGAACGGCCACAUUGGGACUGAGACACGGCCCAAACUCCUACGGGAGGCAGCAG